UCGUCUGUUUCCAUCGCUCGGCCAGCGUGUCCUCGCCCGCUGGUCUUGAGCCGGAUGCCCGUACUCUUUUGUAUGGGUAUAAGACAAGAGCAAUCACAACGUUUUUUGAGUACGAGACCUUUAUUUGUGUGGAGGCUUUCGUAAUUUAUCUGUUGUUACAUAU
RNAcentral lists this small nucleolar RNA (163 nucleotides) under Trichoderma reesei QM6a. Lineage: Eukaryota; Fungi; Ascomycota; Sordariomycetes; Hypocreales; Hypocreaceae. The record is from RNAcentral.